AACGCAUCUUGCGCUCCUUGGUAUUCCGAGGAGCAUGCCUGUUUGAGUGUCAUUUGACCUUCUCAACCACAUCGUUCUUGUUUUGAAUGUGUGUGGCUUGGAUGUGGGGGAAAUAAUUUUAUAUUUUUUUGCAGGCUUCAAAUCAAGAAGCCAGCUCCCCUGAAAUGCAUUAGUGGUGUCUGAGCUGCUAUUGGUGUGAUAAAUUAUCUAUGCCUUUGGUGAUGCUGGUCAGCACCGCUUAUAACGGACGGUGAUCAUUUGACAAAUUUGACCUCAAAUCAGGUAGGACUACCCGCUGAACUUAA
This 305-nucleotide unclassified non-coding RNA is filed under the name uncultured Inocybe. RNAcentral's name for it is "sequence contains ITS2". The stretch from base 1 to 52 matches the Rfam family "5.8S ribosomal RNA", at positions 103 to 154 of the family's 154-position model. The record is from RNAcentral. Lineage: Eukaryota; Fungi; Basidiomycota; Agaricomycetes; Agaricales; Cortinariaceae.